RNAcentral lists this non-coding RNA (550 nucleotides) under Pan troglodytes (chimpanzee). The record is from RNAcentral. Lineage: Eukaryota; Metazoa; Chordata; Mammalia; Primates; Hominidae.
AGAGGAACUGGACACCAGGAGCCUCAUACCAGGACUGCCCAGCCGAGCCACUCGAUUCCUGACCCACAUGGCCCUUGAGAUGACAAGUGAUUGAUUGCUGCUUAAAGUCACUGAGUUCUGGAAUAAUUUACAUCAUGGCAAUAGAAAAUGUAGAGAGGGGACAGCCUAUGUAAGAGCAUACAAGGCCAGAGAUUCAGGCUGGAGGAAAAAGAUGUCUAUUCUUCCCUGUGUGCAUGGACGAGCCUGGAAACAGAUCUUGGGUGGGCUGAGAAGCAGAGCUCAUGUGAUGAAGAGUGCCUGGAAAGGGCAGGUGCCAAAAGAGCACCACUCCCCAUCUGCCCGACCUUCUGCGAAACAAGCCCGCCCUUGAAGGAGAGAAAACGCUCUUCUAAAAAUGGAAGAAAAGACAGACACAGAACAGCUUGUCCCUUUCCAUCCAAUUAAAAACCUCGUGAGACUGAACUAGAUUAAAAACAAAACUCUCCAGCGAAGCCGCAGGCGCCUCCAAGAUAGGGAGUCCACCACCAAUAAAGUACGGCAGAUGCCAGCA